UACGAAGGGGGCUAGCGUUGCUCGGAAUUACUGGGCGUAAAGGGCGCGUAGGCGGAUCGUUAAGUCAGAGGUGAAAUCCCAAGGCUCAACCCUGGAACUGCCUUUGAUACUGGCGAUCUUGAGUGUGUGAGAGAGGUAUGUGGAACUCCGAGUGUAGAGGUGAAAUUCGUAGAUAUUCGGAAGAACACCAGUGGCGAAGGCGACAUACUGGCUCAUUACUGACGCUGAGGCGCGAAAGCGUGGGGAGCAAACAGG
RNAcentral lists this ribosomal RNA (255 nucleotides) under uncultured Brevundimonas sp. Its description in RNAcentral is "partial 16S ribosomal RNA". It matches the Rfam family "Bacterial small subunit ribosomal RNA", at positions 524 to 776 of the family's 1533-position model. Lineage: Bacteria; Pseudomonadati; Pseudomonadota; Alphaproteobacteria; Caulobacterales; Caulobacteraceae. The record is from RNAcentral.